CCUACGGGAGGCAGCAGUGGGGAAUAUUGCACAAUGGGGGAAACCCUGAUGCAGCGACGCCGCGUGAGUGAAGAAGUCAUUAGUUAUGUAAAGCUCUAUCUGCAGGGAAGAAAAUGACGGUACCUGAGUAAGUAGCCCCGGCUAACUACGUGCCAGCAGCCGCGGUACUACGUCGGGGGCCAGCGUUAUCCGGAUUUACUGGGUGUAAAGGGAGCGUAGACGGCAGUGCAGGUCUGGAGUGAAAGGCGGGGGCUCAACCCCCGGACUGCUCUGGAAACUGUACGGCUGGAGUGCAGGUGAGGUAAGUGGAAUUCCUAGUGUAGCGGUGAAAUGCGUAGAUAUUAGGAGGAACUCCAGUGGCGAAGGCGGCUUACUGGACUGUAACUGACGUUGAGGCUCGAAAGCGUGGGGAGCAAACAGGAUUAGAUACCCGUGUAGUC
Molecule: ribosomal RNA, 440 nt
Filed under: uncultured bacterium
Lineage: Bacteria
Description: partial 16S ribosomal RNA
Rfam family: Bacterial small subunit ribosomal RNA
Source: RNAcentral